AUAAUAAUGCUACACCCCGCCCAAUCCAGUGCUCCUUGGGUUGAUCUGAGGGAAGAGUCAUGGCAAUCACAAAAUUCGUAGAAUGACCAGUGGUGGAUAACGUUCCCCUCCGCUCACUUGUCUUAUACAACGGAGCGACGUAACUCGGUCGUUCUGGUAUAUCUGUCCUCUUGCAGGGCUUCAGCCACAUCUGGAAGAAAGUGCAUAAAACUUCAAGUCAACAGCGCUAAUCUUUAUGUUUGAACCUAACAGUGGGGUAUUGUUAAGUCAGUUCUAUAUCUGGACAUUUCUAUGGCCCAGAUAGAUUUUUUGUUAGCAGUGCUGCCAUUUUCAGGCUAUUUAGUGUGCAGUUGUUUUAGCAUUUUUUUAAAUUGAAGUAUAAUUAACAGUGUUGUAUUAGUUUCAGGUAUACAACAAAAUGAUAUGACAAUUCUGUACCAUCACUCAGUGCUCAACAAGUGCAUCCAUGUUGCUGUAAAUGGUCUCUCGUCUGUAUGGGAGGAUACAUGGAGGAUCUCCCUCUAGACUGUAAUGUCAUACACUGACUGCUGAGGAGGAACACGGAGGAGGACGCCACUGAAACUCCAAUCAGUUCUGGGACUGUCCUUUUGGCAUAAAACCUCAGGACUUGAAUAUAGAUCUAUGCACACGGAAACACUCAUCAUAAUGGUUGCACGGAUGGGAAGGAAGCAGUGUGGCACCCAGAGACCUAGGUCUUCGUUCCUAAUUUUUGCAAUACAGGCCCUAUGGAAGGCACAAGAUCUAAAAGGACAGUCAAACCCAAGAAGAUCAAUGGGGAUGGUGUGUUUCCUGGCAUAGUUCUGCUGGGCACCGGUCAGGAAGGCUUGUGUGAAGAAGAAGCCAGAAAGCCAGAAGACUGGAGGAGGGCCAACCUCAUACCAUUGCUGUGGUGUCAAAGCACACAUGUUCUCAGGCAGUAGCCUUUCAACUUCGAAUACAACACUGCUUAAUAAAAUUGACUCCCCAAGGCA
Suricata suricatta (meerkat) is the source of this 992-nucleotide long non-coding RNA. RefSeq lists it as uncharacterized. The record is from RefSeq and is a predicted model, not a curated record. The transcript has 5 exons. Lineage: Eukaryota; Metazoa; Chordata; Mammalia; Carnivora; Herpestidae.